AGUGAACGCUGGCGGUAGGCCUAACACAUGCAAGUCGAACGGCAGCACAGUAAGAGCUUGCUCUUACGGGUGGCGAGUGGCGGACGGGUGAGGAAUACAUCGGAAUCUACUUUUUCGUGGGGGAUAACGUAGGGAAACUUACGCUAAUACCGCAUACGACCUACGGGUGAAAGCAGGGGAUCUUCGGACCUUGCGCGAUUGAAUGAGCCGAUGUCGGAUUAGCUAGUUGGCGGGGUAAAGGCCCACCAAGGCGACGAUCCGUAGCUGGUCGGAGAGGAUGAUCAGCCACACUGGAACUGAGACACGGUCCAGACUCCUACGGGAGGCAGCAGUGGGGAAUAUUGGACAAUGGGCGCAAGCCUGAACCAGCUAUACCGCGUGGGUGAAGAAGGCCUUCGGGUUGUAAAGCCCUUUUGUUGGGAAAGAAAAGCAGCAGGUUAAUACCCCGCUGUUCUGACGGUACCCAAAGAAUAAGCACCGGCUAACUUCGUG
This 492-nucleotide ribosomal RNA is filed under the name uncultured bacterium. RNAcentral describes it as "partial 16S ribosomal RNA". It matches the Rfam family "Bacterial small subunit ribosomal RNA", at positions 29 to 507 of the family's 1533-position model. The record is from RNAcentral.